RNAcentral lists this unclassified non-coding RNA (364 nucleotides) under Hevea brasiliensis (rubber tree). The record is from RNAcentral. Lineage: Eukaryota; Viridiplantae; Streptophyta; Magnoliopsida; Malpighiales; Euphorbiaceae.
UCAUAACAAAAAUGGAAAGGAAAACAAUACCUAUUUAUCUAGGACUCCUCAUGCUGCUCCAUGGAAACUUGGCCUUCUCCACCGUGGAGUCACGAACACCACCACGACCUCUCCCAGUUCCCUUCUCAUACCCAAGCCUUUCUUCCUUCUUCCCGUCAAGCCAAUGCUUUUUCCCUUCGCCAUCUUCCAUAACACUAGACCUCCUCUGCUUGUUCUUUCUCUCCUUCUCCUCCUCAAUAACCCUCAAUGGAAACAGAUCCGGAGAUAUCGAAAGCGGGUUUCUCAAAGUCACAUAGGCCUUUUUGUAGUCAGGUUUGGCGAUUAGUAAUCCGCGUAUUUUCUUCUUCUUGCCUUCCAUGUUGAG